GAUGAACGCUGGCGGCGUGCCUAAUACAUGCAAGUCGAGCGAACAGACGAGGAGCUUGCUCCUCUGACGUUAGCGGCGGACGGGUGAGUAACACGUGGAAAACCUACCUAUAAGACUGGGAUAACUUCGGGAAACCGGAGCUAAUACCGGAUAAUAUAUUGAACCGCAUGGUUCAAUAGUGAAAGACGGUUUUGCUGUCACUUAUAGAUGGAUCCGCGCCGCAUUAGCUAGUUGGUAAGGUAACGGCUUACCAAGGCGACGAUGCGUAGCCGACCUGAGAGAGGGAUCGGCCACACUGGAGCUGAGACACGGUCCAUACUCCUACGAGAGGCAGCAGUAUGGAAUCUUCCGCAAUGGGCGAAAGCCUGACGGAGCAACGCCGCGUGAGUGAUGAAGGUCUUCGGAUCGUAAAACUCUGUUAUUAGUUAAGAACAAAUGUGUAAGUAACUAUGCACGUCUUGACGGUACCUAAUCAGAAAGCCACGGCUAACUACGUG
RNAcentral lists this ribosomal RNA (497 nucleotides) under uncultured bacterium. RNAcentral describes it as "partial 16S ribosomal RNA". It matches the Rfam family "Bacterial small subunit ribosomal RNA", at positions 28 to 507 of the family's 1533-position model. The record is from RNAcentral.